UGUGUUGUUGGGUAGGGGAGCGUUCUGUAAGCCUGUGAAGGUGUGUCGUGAGGCAUGCUGGAGGUAUCAGAAGUGCGAAUGCUGACAUAAGUAACGAUAAAGCGGGUGAAAAGCCCGCUCGCCGGAAGACCAAGGGUUCCUGUCCAACGUUAAUCGGGGCAGGGUGAGUCGACCCCUAAGGCGAGGCCGAAAGGCGUAGUCGAUGGGAAACGGGUUAAUAUUCCCGUACUUGGUGUUACUGCGAAGGGGGGACGGAGAAGGCUAUGUUGGCCGGGCGACGGUUGUCCCGGUUUAAGCGUGUAGGUGUGUGUUCCAGGUAAAUCCGGUU
Molecule: ribosomal RNA, 328 nt
Filed under: Salmonella enterica subsp. enterica
Lineage: Bacteria; Pseudomonadati; Pseudomonadota; Gammaproteobacteria; Enterobacterales; Enterobacteriaceae
Also listed under: 1 other name
Description: partial 23S ribosomal RNA
Rfam family: Bacterial large subunit ribosomal RNA
Source: RNAcentral